RNAcentral lists this transfer RNA (88 nucleotides) under Luteimonas terricola. RNAcentral describes it as "tRNA-Ser". It matches the Rfam family "tRNA". Rfam says of the family: Transfer RNA (tRNA) molecules are approximately 80 nucleotides in length. Lineage: Bacteria; Pseudomonadati; Pseudomonadota; Gammaproteobacteria; Lysobacterales; Lysobacteraceae. The record is from RNAcentral.
GGAAGAGUGGCCGAGCGGUUGAAGGCACCGGUCUUGAAAACCGGCAACGGGAAACCGUUCGUGGGUUCGAAUCCCACCUCUUCCGCCA